Molecule: ribosomal RNA, 429 nt
Filed under: Pseudomonadota bacterium
Lineage: Bacteria; Pseudomonadati; Pseudomonadota
Description: Proteobacteria bacterium partial 16S ribosomal RNA
Rfam family: Bacterial small subunit ribosomal RNA
Source: RNAcentral
UGGGGAAUAUUGGACAAUGGGCGAAAGCCUGAUCCAGCCAUGCCGCGUGUGUGAAGAAGGUCUUCGGAUUGUAAAGCACUUUAAGUUGGGAGGAAGGGCAGUAAGCGAAUACCUUGCUGUUUUGACGUUACCGACAGAAUAAGCACCGGCUAACUCUGUGCCAGCAGCCGCGGUAAUACAGAGGGUGCAAGCGUUAAUCGGAAUUACUGGGCGUAAAGCGCGCGUAGGUGGUUCGUUAAGUUGAAUGUGAAAGCCCCGGGCUCAACCUGGGAACUGCAUCCAAAACGGGCGAGCUAGAGUAGGGCAGAGGGUGGUGGAAUUUCCUGUGUAGCGGUGAAAUGCGUAGAUAUAGGAAGGAAAACCAGUGGCGAAGGCGACCACCUGGGCUCAUACUGACACUGAGGUGCGAAAGCGUGGGGAGCAAACAGG